UGGGGAAUUUUGGACAAUGGGCGCAAGCCUGAUCCAGCCAUGCCGCGUGCGGGAAGAAGGCCUUCGGGUUGUAAACCGCUUUUGUCAGGGAAGAAAUCUUCUGAGUUAAUACCUCGGGGAGGAUGACGGUACCUGAAGAAUAAGCACCGGCUAACUACGUGCCAGCAGCCGCGGUAAUACGUAGGGUGCAAGCGUUAAUCGGAAUUACUGGGCGUAAAGCGUGCGCAGGCGGUUUUGUAAGACAGAGGUGAAAUCCCCGGGNUCAACCUGGGAACUGCCUUUGUGACUGCAAGGCUUGAGUGCGGCAGAGGGGGAUGGAAUUCCGCGUGUAGCAGUGAAAUGCGUAGAUAUGCGGAGGAACACCGAUGGCGAAGGCAAUCCCCUGGGCCUGCACUGACGCUCAUGCACG
RNAcentral lists this ribosomal RNA (409 nucleotides) under uncultured bacterium. RNAcentral's name for it is "partial 16S ribosomal RNA". It matches the Rfam family "Bacterial small subunit ribosomal RNA", at positions 355 to 755 of the family's 1533-position model. The record is from RNAcentral.